AUACGUAGGGGGCGAGCGUUAUCCGGAUUCAUUGGGUUUAAAGGGAGCGUAGGCGGGAGCUUAAGUCAGCGGUUAAAUGGUGCGGCUCAACCGUGCCCUGCCGUUGAAACUGGGUUUCUUGAGAGUGCAAGAGGCGGAUGGAAUUCAUGGUGUAGCGGUGAAAUGCUUAGAUAUCAUGAAGAACUCCGAUUGCGAAGGCAGUCCGCUGGGGCACGUCUGACGCUGAUGCUCGAAGGUGCGGGAAUCAAACAGGAUUAGAUGCCCUGGUAGUCCGCACGGUAAACGAUGAUUACCCGCUGUCGGCGGCAGACAGUCGGCGGCCAAGCGAAAGCGAUAAGUAAUCCACCUGGGGAGUACGCCGGCAACGGUGAAACUCAAAGGAAUUGACGGGG
RNAcentral lists this ribosomal RNA (392 nucleotides) under uncultured bacterium. RNAcentral's name for it is "partial 16S ribosomal RNA". It matches the Rfam family "Bacterial small subunit ribosomal RNA", at positions 523 to 918 of the family's 1533-position model. The record is from RNAcentral.